This 849-nucleotide long non-coding RNA is filed under the name Homo sapiens (human). RNAcentral's name for it is "non-protein coding lnc-RBKS-7:1". Lineage: Eukaryota; Metazoa; Chordata; Mammalia; Primates; Hominidae. The record is from RNAcentral.
UGGCAAGCUGAUUCUAAAAGAUAUAUAAAAAUGCAAAGGACCUAGAAUAGCCAAAACAAUCUUUAAAAAGAACAAGCUUGGAUACCUUUCCUGAUUUCAAGAAAUAUUGGUAUACCUUUCCUGAUUUCAAGAAAUAUUGGUAUACUGUGAUCUUGGCUCACUGCAACCUCCGCCUCCUGGGUUCAACAGAUUCUCCUGCCUCAGCCUCCGGAGUAGCUGGGAUUAUAGGCUUGUGCCAGCAUGCCCUGCUAAUUUUUGUAUUUUUAGUAGAGAUGGGGUUUUCCCAUGUUGGCCAGACUGUUCUCGAACUUCCUACCUCAGGUGAUCCGCCCGCUUCAGUCCCCCAAAAUGCUGGGAGAACAGACGUGAUGACUGCUCCCGGCCACCAUAACAGCUAAAUCUUAAACAAUUAUGUUGAAUGAAAUGAAGAUAAAUUUCAUUGUGUCAGACACAAAAGAGUAUGAUCUGUAUUAUUUCAUUUAGAAGUAUCUAAAAGAAAAAACUAAGACAGGGUGAUACAGAACAAUAGUUGCCUUGAGAGUAAAGAGACUAUUUGGAAAGAGGCUAUAAGGUAACUUCGUCAAAACUUGUCAAAAGAUAUACUUAAAACCUGUCCACUCCAUUGUAUAUAAAUUAUACUGUAAUUUUAAAAAAAGAUAUAUAUGCAAAGCCAUUUCCUUCAAAGUACUCAUGGUUUGGUUAAGGAAACAAAAUAUAUAUGAAGAUGUGAAGAACUAAAAGAAAAUACCAAAGAGAUUCCAAAGCAGUAUGUGAUUAGAGUCAAAGGAGACUGGGAGGGGAGAGAGCUGCUGGCAAAGUAGAGUGGAUGGGAAAACCCAUAUGGGAGAA